UGUACACUUGUGCACUUCAAAAAUUCAUUGUAUACUGCACCUUCUUGCACAUCUCCGUUUCCUGUGUGUGUGUUAUUAUAAAUCAAACUGUAACUGUAGGAAAAAAUAUGCCAAAAGCACAUUUGUAAUUACUUAUGAACUUUUUCUACUUAUUUCUUUAGACCAAAUCCCCUGUACACAUAUAGUGACUCAGAGGAUGAGCAGCCCACAAAAAAACGGUUUCCCCAGGCACCUCGAGUGAAAAUACCAGCCCUCACCACUCCGCAGUCUUCCCCCCAGCCCACUGACAGCAGGCAUCAUAAUGCCCCUCCCAGCUUCCGGCACCUUUCGCCACUCCGGCAGAACACUCCAAACGACACAGCUUUGCAAUCUCCCCAGCAUGCAGAGUCUGAUGUCGAGGCCUUCCCUAUAGAUGAUUCCAGAGACUCUGUGAGGCCACUAU
Oreochromis niloticus (Nile tilapia) is the source of this 442-nucleotide long non-coding RNA. RefSeq lists it as uncharacterized. Lineage: Eukaryota; Metazoa; Chordata; Actinopteri; Cichliformes; Cichlidae. The transcript has 3 exons. The record is from RefSeq and is a predicted model, not a curated record.